Molecule: unclassified non-coding RNA, 319 nt
Filed under: Hevea brasiliensis (rubber tree)
Lineage: Eukaryota; Viridiplantae; Streptophyta; Magnoliopsida; Malpighiales; Euphorbiaceae
Source: RNAcentral
GUACAAGUACCCAUUCUUCAUCAUAAAGAUUUCCCUUACACUGUCUAGUAUAUCAUGGUAGACAAAAAUGUCUAUCACCUGCUCACAUAAAAGUGUACUCUUUCUAACAACGCAGACAAAAGUUUUAAGAUCGAAUCUCACGGCUAUAAUGUACAUGUUUUUUUUGUGCCAAUCCAAUUGAUCGGGCCUAACACAAACACAUGCCUGGGCCUCUCAACACAGAAUAGAGAAACAAUCCAGACCAACAAUAACACUUGCUUGAUUGUUUCUGCUUAAUGGCUGUAUCCUUAUCGAAUUAUAGUAAGCCAUGGUUAUCCUU